GGUUAAGCGACUAAGCGUACACGGUGGAUGCCCUGGCAGUCAGAGGCGAUGAAGGACGUGCUAAUCUGCGAUAAGCGUCGGUAAGGUGAUAUGAACCGUUAUAACCGGCGAUUUCCGAAUGGGGAAACCCAGUGUGAUUCGUCACACUAUCAUUAACUGAAUCCAUAGGUUAAUGAGGCGAACCGGGGGAACUGAAACAUCUAAGUACCCCGAGGAAAAGAAAUCAACCGAGAUUCCCCCAGUAGCGGCGAGCGAACGGGGAGGAGCCCAGAGCCUGAAUCAGUGUGUGUGUUAGUGGAAGCGUCUGGAAAGGCGCGCGAUACAGGGUGACAGCCCCGUACACAAAAAUGCACAUACUGUGAGCUCGAUGAGUAGGGCGGGACACGUGGUAUCCUGUCUGAAUAUGGGGGGACCAUCCUCCAAGGCUAAAUACUCCUGACUGACCGAUAGUGAACCAGUACCGUGAGGGAAAGGCGAAAAGAACCCCGGCGAGGGGAGUGAAAAAGAACCUGAAACCGUGUACGUACAAGCAGUGGGAGCCUCUUAAUGGGGUGACUGCGUACCUUUUGUAUAAUGGGUCAGCGACUUAUAUUCUGUAGCAAGGUUAACCGAAUAGGGGAGCCGAAGGGAAACCGAGUCUUAACUGGGCGUUAAGUUGCAGGGUAUAGACCCGAAACCCGGUGAUCUAGCCAUGGGCAGGUUGAAGGUUGGGUAACACUAACUGGAGGACCGAACCGACUAAUGUUGAAAAAUUAGCGGAUGACUUGUGGCUGGGGGUGAAAGGCCAAUCAAACCGGGAGAUAGCUGGUUCUCCCCGAAAGCUAUUUAGGUAGCGCCUCGUGAAUUCAUCUCCGGGGGUAGAGCACUGUUUCGGCAAGGGGGUCAUCCCGACUUACCAACCCGAUGCAAACUGCGAAUACCGGAGAAUGUUAUCACGGGAGACACACGGCGGGUGCUAACGUCCGUCGUGAAGAGGGAAACAACCCAGACCGCCAGCUAAGGUCCCAAAGUCAUGGUUAAGUGGGAAACGAUGUGGGAAGGCCCAGACAGCCAGGAUGUUGGCUUAGAAGCAGCCAUCAUUUAAAGAAAGCGUAAUAGCUCACUGGUCGAGUCGGCCUGCGCGGAAGAUGUAACGGGGCUAAACCAUGCACCGAAGCUGCGGCAGCGACACUGUGUGUUGUUGGGUAGGGGAGCGUUCUGUAAGCCUGUGAAGGUGUGCUGUGAGGCAUGCUGGAGGUAUCAGAAGUGCGAAUGCUGACAUAAGUAACGAUAAAGCGGGUGAAAAGCCCGCUCGCCGGAAGACCAAGGGUUCCUGUCCAACGUUAAUCGGGGCAGGGUGAGUCGACCCCUAAGGCGAGGCCGAAAGGCGUAGUCGAUGGGAAACAGGUUAAUAUUCCUGUACUUGGUGUUACUGCGAAGGGGGGACGGAGAAGGCUAUGUUGGCCGGGCGACGGUUGUCCCGGUUUAAGCGUGUAGGCUGGUUUUCCAGGCAAAUCCGGAAAACUAAGGCUGAGGCGUGAUGACGAGGCACUACGGUGCUGAAGCAACAAAUGCCCUGCUUCCAGGAAAAGCCUCUAAGCAUCAGGUAACAUCAAAUCGUACCCCAAACCGACACAGGUGGUCAGGUAGAGAAUACCAAGGCGCUUGAGAGAACUCGGGUGAAGGAACUAGGCAAAAUGGUGCCGUAACUUCGGGAGAAGGCACGCUGAUAUGUAGGUGAAGUCCCUCGCGGAUGGAGCUGAAAUCAGUCGAAGAUACCAGCUGGCUGCAACUGUUUAUUAAAAACACAGCACUGUGCAAACACGAAAGUGGACGUAUACGGUGUGACGCCUGCCCGGUGCCGGAAGGUUAAUUGAUGGGGUUAGCGGUAACGCGAAGCUCUUGAUCGAAGCCCCGGUAAACGGCGGCCGUAACUAUAACGGUCCUAAGGUAGCGAAAUUCCUUGUCGGGUAAGUUCCGACCUGCACGAAUGGCGUAAUGAUGGCCAGGCUGUCUCCACCCGAGACUCAGUGAAAUUGAACUCGCUGUGAAGAUGCAGUGUACCCGCGGCAAGACGGAAAGACCCCGUGAACCUUUACUAUAGCUUGACACUGAACAUUGAGCCUUGAUGUGUAGGAUAGGUGGGAGGCUUUGAAGUGUGGACGCCAGUCUGCAUGGAGCCGGCCUUGAAAUACCACCCUUUAAUGUUUGAUGUUCUAACGUUGGCCCCUGAUCGGGGUUGCGGACAGUGUCUGGUGGGUAGUUUGACUGGGGCGGUCUCCUCCUAAAGAGUAACGGAGGAGCACGAAGGUUGGCUAAUCCUGGUCGGACAUCAGGAGGUUAGUGCAAUGGCAUAAGCCAGCUUGACUGCGAGCGUGACGGCGCGAGCAGGUGCGAAAGCAGGUCAUAGUGAUCCGGUGGUUCUGAAUGGAAGGGCCAUCGCUCAACGGAUAAAAGGUACUCCGGGGAUAACAGGCUGAUACCGCCCAAGAGUUCAUAUCGACGGCGGUGUUUGGCACCUCGAUGUCGGCUCAUCACAUCCUGGGGCUGAAGUAGGUCCCAAGGGUAUGGCUGUUCGCCAUUUAAAGUGGUACGCGAGCUGGGUUUAGAACGUCGUGAGACAGUUCGGUCCCUAUCUGCCGUGGGCGCUGGAGAACUGAGGGGGGCUGCUCCUAGUACGAGAGGACCGGAGUGGACGCAUCACUGGUGUUCGGGUUGUCAUGCCAAUGGCACUGCCCGGUAGCUAAAUGCGGAAGAGAUAAGUGCUGAAAGCAUCUAAGCACGAAACUUGCCCCGAGAUGAGUUCUCCCUGACUCCUUGAGAGUCCUGAAGGAACGUUGAAGACGACGACGUUGAUAGGCCGGGUGUGUAAGCGCAGCGAUGCGUUGAGCUAACCGGUACUAAUGAACCGUGAGGCUUAACCUU
RNAcentral lists this ribosomal RNA (2904 nucleotides) under Escherichia coli. RNAcentral's name for it is "23S ribosomal RNA". It matches the Rfam family "Bacterial large subunit ribosomal RNA". Lineage: Bacteria; Pseudomonadati; Pseudomonadota; Gammaproteobacteria; Enterobacterales; Enterobacteriaceae. The record is from RNAcentral.